Molecule: long non-coding RNA, 3140 nt
Filed under: Sus scrofa (pig)
Lineage: Eukaryota; Metazoa; Chordata; Mammalia; Artiodactyla; Suidae
Description: lncRNA (ENSSSCG00060009390.1)
Source: RNAcentral
GUCAUUCCUCAUCCUGAGGUUUAGUCACCUCUCGGGGGCAAAUGAGUAGGUUGGCCUGGAGGACCUCUGAGUCCUUUCAGGUCUGACAUUCUGAGGGUCAGUAACCAUCCAGCUCCUGGCCCAGCUGGGAGUAUGUUAAAGGAACAGGAGUAUUCCAGGCAAUUUCCUGACUGUAGGUAAAGCCAGAGCAUAAGGAAACCUGGAGCUUUCUCUGGAAGCUCCCAGACAGCAGAAAUGGACAGGAAAAAGAAGCCUUUGAGGACGCCACCUCUGAUGGCUGGAGUAUGACUCAGAACAGAGCCAACAGCUUUGAGAGCUUGAGCAAAAUGGCCCAGCUGCCUAGCUGCGCUUAGCGCAAAGUCCCUAUGUCCCUUGGCCAGCCCAAGUGGGGAUGUGGACCUGAGUUUGCACCAGGACAAAACCAAUGUAGAAACAAAUCCAAACACAAGUGGACUAACACCUUUGAUGUUUGGUUCUACCUGGCAUAAAUGUAUUUCACCAGGCAUUUAUUUCACAAGAAGGCACUGGGAUUGAUGGUCUCUCAAAAAGCACAACUAGUUUGCUGGGAUUGUUGAGGGAUACAUUAGAAGGAGAAUUCAGGGCAUGGUUUGUUCCAGAAUGUGGAGCGUGGGACACAGAAACUCCUUAUGUCCUGGAGAUGAAUGAAGACACUAGAUGCAUUGUCUCAGACUCCUUCCCCACUUCUUAAGGAAUGCUGCUUUGCAGAUACUGAGGCUGCUUUUUGCACUGGCAAAGUGAGUUUAUUGGCAAAAACAUGAGGAAAUUUGGAUGUGCUUUAGGUGUUAACCAGGGAGAAUAUUCGCUGGCUGGCUUGCUUGCUUCCUUCUCUCCUUCCUUCCAGCCUCCCUUGCUCACUCUCAUUCUCAUGCUUUUUUUCUUCUUGAGGUCAGUGAGUAUCAGGGUCUUCAAAAUUCCAACAAAGAUAUAUUACAUCUGGCUAAUAUGGAAAGGCCACAACUAUGGCUGGCAAAAAUCUGGAUUACUUCACCCUAAUACUGAACACCCCCCAUCUCUUCCCCAAGAUCUCAGAUCCCUAAAGCUGCCUGGUUUGCUCUGAGGAAAACUCAGUGAUUCUCUGAAAAAAAGAAUGCAACACCAGUGACUACUUCCUUUUAUCAGUGUGGCCAGUGGGAGAGGCCAUGUCUAGGAUACUGAGGGUGGGUGGGAAAUGGAGCUCUUGGCCUACAGGCCUGAGUUGGAGUCAGUGGUCCUUGCCUCAAGCCUGGUUUGGGUCUCAGCAGCAGCAUGGGUAGGCCCUAUUCCAUAGCAGUGCCCUGGCUGAUCACUGUUUUUUUGCCCACAGCCAAUCACACUGAUGCUGAAGAGGCUGCCAAAAUUGAGGCUGAGGAUACAAUCACCUAUUCACUUCUCUUGCAUCCGGAAGCUGCAGAAGGAGAAGCAGAGGCUUCAGAUUACCAGAACCACAUUUAAAUUUCAUUAUCUUGCCUGGGACUUGGGGAAGAGAAUAAGGAUUUGGUGUUUUCUGCCCUGAAUUCCUCUUAGGGAGGAGAAGAGAAUUUCGCAGUUGCAAAGGAAAACGACCCCUCCAGAGUUAUCUACAUGAAUCCUGAAGCUCCCUUUUCUGAAAGCCACAGACAAUACCUUCUCAGAUAACUGACCUGCUGAUUUCUUCUGUGCCUCAGCACUUCUCACCAUUAGGACUCUUCUGUUAGACUUCCACACAGCCAGUGAAAAUUACUUUUAAUAAGAGAUUGUAGCAACACAGGAAAUACUUAUGUUACAGAUGACAUGAGAAAAAUUAUAUAAAUAUACAUGAUUUCAGAAAUGUUGAAACAGACUAACAUAUGCCAAUAUAUUAAAAGCAAUUGUUUCAGGGUGAUGGAAUUAUUGGCGCUUUUCAUUUCCUUUAUUUUUCUGUGUAGAUCAUAUAUUACUUUCAUAAUAAAAUACUACACAAACAACAUUCUCUUUACCUUUUAAAGGCUGUAUUAAUUGGAGACAUAGACUGAUCCGAUGCAUUUGUUUUCAAUGGUAAGAAUCUUGGGGAAUUCCCAUUGGGGCUCAGUGGGUUAAGAACCCAACUAGAAUCCAUGAGGAUGAGGGUUAAAUUCCUGGCCUUGCUCAGUGGGUUACGGACCCAGUGUUGCUGCAAGUUGCAGUGUAGGUCGCAGAUAUGGUUCCAUCUUCCCCCACCCCCAACCUCCUGUUGCUGAGACUGUGGCAUAGGUCAGCAGCUGCAGCUCCAGUUAGACCUCUAGCCCAGGAACUUCCAUAUGCCACAGGUGCAGCCCUAAAAAGACAAAAGAAUGGGAAAAAAAAAGAAAAGAAAAGAUAAAAGAAUCUUGGGAAGGUAGUAAUGGGUAGGAGGUAGAGGAAAGGAAAGAUUUAGAAUGUAGGACAAGUGUCCCUCUUCUUAAAACCAAAUACCCUUCUCUCAGUGAAUUUGUGCUCUUCCUCUUCCUUCCGUGGCAAAUAAACAAUCACUUUGCAACACCAGUUUUCAGGAAGCCAAGCUUCAGAUGAGUCCCCAGUGGAGACUGCUGACUCUUCCUGCCCUGCCCUUCUAUUAGUUACCAGAAAGAUGUGACCUUCUCAACGAAGCCAUCCCAGCAGGUUAGAAAUAUGACUAAUAGCUCCCUUGGGAGUUUGGUGGGUGCCCUUGGAGAAGCCUCAUUUUCCUGGGACUCUGACACAGCUUCAUUGUGCAACACUUUUGCAUUAAGGAUUUAGCAGCUUCCUUUGUUGGGUAGUUUCUAUAGCUUUCUAUAAUAUUCACAUAUCAGAUUUCAUACCCACAUAUUGUUAUAAAAAUAGGGAAUAGUAAUUGCAAUUACUGGGUUAUUGAGGGCUUACUUUAUGUCAAACUAUGUGCUUUAGAAUUAGAGUACUCUGGUGGCUCAGUGGGUUAAGGAUUGGGAGUUGUGCCUGCUGUGGCACAGUUUCAAUCCCUGGCCCAAGAACUUCUGCAUGCCACCAGGGCAGCCAAAAAAAAAAAAAGUGCUAGUCAUUCAUGGUUCUUCUUUUGUGAUUUUCUUAUUCACAUACUCAUGCCCAUUUUUAUAGUAACAAAUCCCUUUAUAAAUUACACAGUAGCAACUGUUUUAUUUAGAUGUAAAUUAUUUUAUUCCACGAAUUUAAAAAAACAGAUAAGCAAAAAA